GACUUGUCCAAAGGUAGUGAGUUAUCUCAACUGAUUGUUCAGUCAGUUACAGAUUGAACUCCUUGUUCUACUCUUUACCUAUUUCUCACUAUUGCACUUGACUAAUCUUUC
RNAcentral lists this Y RNA (111 nucleotides) under Nomascus leucogenys (northern white-cheeked gibbon). It matches the Rfam family "Y RNA". From Rfam's summary of the family: Y RNAs are components of the Ro ribonucleoprotein particle (Ro RNP), in association with Ro60 and La proteins. The Y RNAs and Ro60 and La proteins are well conserved, but the function of the Ro RNP is not known. The record is from Rfam by way of RNAcentral. Lineage: Eukaryota; Metazoa; Chordata; Mammalia; Primates; Hylobatidae.